UUCCAGACUUCGAUUAUGGCUCAGGAUAAACGCUGGCGGCGCACAUAAGACAUGCAAGUCGGACGGACUUAACUCAUUCUUUUAGUUUGAGAGCGGUUAGUGGCGGACUGGUGAGUAACACGUAAGCAACCUGCCUAUCAGAGGGGAAUAACAGUGAGAAAUCAUUGCUAAUACCGCAUAUACUAACAGUAUCGCAUGAUACAGUUAGGAAAGGAGCAAUCCGCUGAUAGAUGGGCUUGCGUCUGAUUAGUUAGUUGGUGGGGUAACGGCCUACCAAGACUACGAUCAGUAGCCGGACUGAGAGGUUGAACGGCCACAUUGGGACUGAGAUACGGCCCAGACUCCUACGGGAGGCAGCAGUCGGGAAUAUUGCGCAAUGGAGGAAACUCUGACGCAGUGACGCCGCGUAUAGGAAGAAGGUUUUCGGAUUGUAAACUAUUGUCGUUAGGGAAGAUAAAAGACUGUACCUAAGGAGGAAGCCCCGGCUAACUAUGUGCCAGCAGCCGCGGUAAUACAUAGGGGGCAAGCGUUAUCCGGAAUUAUUGGGUGUAAAGGGUGCGUAGACGGAGAAACAAGUUGGUUGUGAAAUCCCUCGGCUCAACUGAGGAACUGCAACCAAAACUAUUUCCCUUGAGUGUCGGAGAGGAAAGUGGAAUUCCUAGUGUAGCGGUGAAAUGCGUAGAUAUUAGGAGGAACACCAGUGGCGAAGGCGACUUUCUGGACGAUAACUGACGUUGAGGCACGAAAGUGUGGGGAGCAAACAGGAUUAGAUACCCUGGUAGUCCACACUGUAAACGAUGGAUACUAGGUGUAGGGUGUAUUAAGCACUCUGUGCCGCCGCUAACGCAUUAAGUAUCCCACCUGGGGAGUACGACCGCAAGGU
This 883-nucleotide ribosomal RNA is filed under the name uncultured Bacillota bacterium. RNAcentral's name for it is "bacterial SSU rRNA". It matches the Rfam family "Bacterial small subunit ribosomal RNA", at positions 1 to 894 of the family's 1533-position model. Lineage: Bacteria; Bacillati; Bacillota. The record is from RNAcentral.